Long non-coding RNA from Zophobas morio, 459 nucleotides. RefSeq lists it as uncharacterized. The record is from RefSeq and is a predicted model, not a curated record. The transcript is spliced from 2 exons. NCBI's taxonomy places the organism in Eukaryota, Metazoa, Arthropoda, Insecta, Coleoptera, Tenebrionidae.
UAGUAGGUAUAAAUACAUGGAAUAUACAUGCAUGUAGAUCAGUUUCGGUUGGUGUUUGGAUCAUAAACUAUACCAAACAAGUUAAACAAUGAUUUUUCCGAUAUUGUUGGUAGUUUUGGUUACAACUGCACUCAACGUUCAAGCAGGUCCCACUUGUCCACAAAAAGAUGGCAAAUAUCCUGUUUACAUACCACAUGAAGAUUGCACCAAAUUCUGGGAAUGUUCUAAUGGCACUCCCCACUUGUUUGAUUGCCCCGCAAAUUUACACUUCAAUCCAAAAUUAAAUGUCUGUGACUGGCCAGAUCAAGCAGGAUGCGAUGACAGUGAUAGUUCUUCAGGAAGUUCAUCUUCUUCGUCUUCGAGUUCAGAAUCUAAUGAAGACGACUGAAAAGGGAUUCCAUGAAUAAUGAAAAAACGACUGUAACAUAUUUUUGAAUUAAUAAAGCAUCUGAAAAUGUA